GGCGAGAUGGCCGAGCGGUCUAAGGCGCCAGACUAAGGUUAUUUGUCAUGACUGAUACAUCUAUCUGGUCCGAAAGGGCGUGGGUUCGAAUCCCACUCUCGUCA
Molecule: transfer RNA, 104 nt
Filed under: Trametes cinnabarina
Lineage: Eukaryota; Fungi; Basidiomycota; Agaricomycetes; Polyporales; Polyporaceae
Description: Pycnoporus cinnabarinus tRNA
Rfam family: tRNA
About the family: Transfer RNA (tRNA) molecules are approximately 80 nucleotides in length.
Source: Rfam by way of RNAcentral